UGAGAAAUUCCGAGAAACCAAAAACCGAACUUCCCAAAAAUUCAUUAGUAAUUUCAUCAUAGAUUGCUCUAAUUAAACUGGACCAGCCCGGUUACUAUGAUCAACUUUUCCAAAGGGCACUACUAUGCUUUUAGCUGCAUACCAGAAAAAUAUCUGGCAGAUGUGACCCUAGUAGCAAAGGGGCCAUGGAAUAGAAACUUAGCUGGAUUGCGCAUGGAAAGGAGGAGAGGACCAGAGAGGGAAAUAUAAUUGGAGUCACUGAAUCGAGCUGGAGCUGCAUCGUCCUCCAACUGUUUGUUGUAAGGACUUCAUGUGAG
Molecule: long non-coding RNA, 317 nt
Filed under: Eucalyptus grandis
Lineage: Eukaryota; Viridiplantae; Streptophyta; Magnoliopsida; Myrtales; Myrtaceae
Description: long non-coding RNA (EGRA_LNC003739)
Source: RNAcentral